RNAcentral lists this transfer RNA (75 nucleotides) under Brevibacterium ravenspurgense. RNAcentral's name for it is "tRNA-Met". It matches the Rfam family "tRNA". From Rfam's summary of the family: Transfer RNA (tRNA) molecules are approximately 80 nucleotides in length. Their secondary structure includes four short double-helical elements and three loops (D, anti-codon, and T loops). Lineage: Bacteria; Bacillati; Actinomycetota; Actinomycetes; Micrococcales; Brevibacteriaceae. The record is from RNAcentral.
CCCCCUGUAGCUCAGCUGGUUAGAGCAGGGGACUCAUAAUCCCUUGGUCGCCGGUUCAAGUCCGGCCGGGGGGAC